Molecule: long non-coding RNA, 693 nt
Organism: Boleophthalmus pectinirostris (great blue-spotted mudskipper)
Lineage: Eukaryota; Metazoa; Chordata; Actinopteri; Gobiiformes; Gobiidae
Exons: 3
Source: RefSeq, a predicted model, not a curated record
GGUGUUUGGUUUUUAUUUGGUUCUACAGAAAGGGUAUGCUUGUUUUUUUUUUAAUUUUUACAGUGUUACAACAAAGCUGAUGCUGGUGGCAGGUUAUGGCACGAAUGCUAAUUUACAUCUGUAGUCCCUGAGCAGCAAUCAUGUCCUGCUGUGAAUGAUCAGCAUAUGGCACAGCACAGGACCCCCUGAGCUCCUCCUGACAGAGGAUUCUUCAGAAAGACAAGUCUGGGCUUGGAAACCAAUCAUCUUUGAUAUUCAGUGACACGGAGCCUGCAUGGGGCCAUUUGAUCAGCGGCCGUCUGCUGAGCCUCUGAGGGCAUUAUUUGUGUCUUCUCUUAUCGGGCCCUUGAUGGGAUGGUUGCCCAGGAGACGCAGGGACAUUGCUAUAGCGACUGCUCAGAGAUGAGACAAGAGGUGGAAGCAAAUUAGUCCUACACAAAAUAUUGUUCAGGUCAGACUCUAUUGGGACACAAAUAUGCAUUUUAUUUAUCAAAAACAACUGUUGUUUUUUUAUUGGCUGUUUAUAGUCGACACGCAACUGUCCAACAGUUUCAUUUCACCUUUCUGUUCUGCUUUGUUGGUUUUUAGAUUUCAUAUCAUUUAUUAAAAUCUAAAGAAAACUGCAAACAAUGGCACAUAAUAGACUAUCAAAACCAUUUUUCUCUUCUCUUACCCUUUAGUGUCUCAUCUAUA